GUUAGGAUUAGGGGUGAGAGUUAGGGUUACGGUACUGUAAAUAAUUUCACAUUAUUACUAAUAAUAAAUUAUUAUUUGUAUUACACUGUUACGUAAUGUAAACGCUAUUAAGACAUGUUUUUCUUCAAAGAAUGGCCUUGGUUUCUGUGGGCUGUGCCUCGUCAUGGAAGGGUAAUGCAUUCCUGCUAAAUCAUGGACAAAACGGGCUUCCAGGAGCUACAGGCCCCUGCAGCAGCAGCUUCUCCUCUACGUCCUUCACUGCCUCAAACUGUUGUUGACUUUGAAAGCUUCUUUCAGUCUAGUUUUAUCAACAGAGCUAGUAUUUCAUGAGGUUCUACUACAUACCAGGUUCCAGAAAGCUAAAUGCCUUUUGUUAUUAUUCACUAAAUACAAAUCACAACUCUCUCCUCAUUACUCACACAACAAAAUUUAGCUGAGGGAGAUUGAGUGACUUUCCCAGGGUCACAUAGCUACUAAGAGCAGAGUCGUGUUUAGAUUCAUGUGGGAAUAUUGAACACAGAAAUGAACCAGUGGAAACAUCCUAUGUUCCAAAAGCCUACUCAAGGCAUUUCUUCUUAUUUUAAGGAAAAUCUUUAUGCUAAUUUUAAACUCCAAAUACUUAUGAAUGGCAGAGAUCUACAGAUUUGAUUCUGAUGUAAGAAAUGAUGGUCACCAGCUGGUUACUGCUACCACCCCACAACCCCGAGCAUACUGGACGAAUGUCUAAGCCUUGUGGUUAGUGGGGACAAUGCUGGUGGAGUCUGAAGUUGUCAUGCAGUGACUCAUGCAAGCUUAGGCAGAUUUGGUAAUAUAUGACACAGAGAUGCAAAGAAAUGUUGUAGCUGACACACACAGGCUGGCUCUGGGAGAUGCAGAAGGAGCACGUCACCCAAAAUAGAGCCAGACAAGACAUCCUUAAGGAAGGAGCAAAAGGGCUGCAUCUUAAAGAAUGUAGAAAGGAUUUGUCAUGAGAGAUGGGGCAGGAAGUUCUUGAGAGGCAGAGGGAGAGCAUGAGAAUGUUAGGAAGGGAGGAGAGAUUCUCACACAUCUGGGAAGCUGACAAUCCAUCAGCAUGGCCAGAAGGAAAAUAAGGAGGAGGAGCAGAAAUAGAUGAGGCUGGAUAUAGAAGCAGGGCUGAAGCUGUGUCGAUUGUGGUAAAGAGUUGUGAUUCUAUCCAGAACGCAAUAGGUAGCAUUCUAAACAGAGAUCUUUUCAAACAAGAGUCAGCAAGUAUUUUCUGCAGGAGGCUAAAUGUUAAAUAUUUUAAGUUUUCCAAGCCAUAUGGUCUCUCUCUCAAUGACUCAGCUCUUCCAUUAUACCAUGAAAGUAGCCAGAGACAUUAUGUAACACAUGUAUUGGCUGUGUCCUAUUACAACUUUACUUACAAACGCAGACUGUGUCAGACAUGGUCCAUGCAUGGUAGUUUGCCACACCCUGUUUUAGAAAGCUCAGGUUUAUGAUGUGAUGGAGAAUGCCUACAAGAGCUCUUGUUUUAAAUGGUAGAGUGAACAUACACUGGAAUUCUAUCCUGCUUGACCCAAGCUCUUGAUAGCAAAAGGUAGAAAAGAUAGAUGGUAAAUAGAUAGAUAGAUGAUAGAUAAAGAAAAUACAUAGCUGUUCCAGAAAACAGAAAUGGAUAACUUCAUGAACCAAAAGCAGAGUAAUAUACUUUAGAAAGGAAGCGGGCCAGAAAACCCACAGUUGCAAAACAAAUAGAAUUUCCAACUGCCUCUUGUAGCCCCUUCCUGGAAGUAGUCACAGCCCAGGGUGUUUGACUUCUUCCUCUGUUUUUUGUUUGUUUGUUGUUUGCUUUUCUGUGGGGUUUUUGUUGUUGUUGUUUGCUUUUAAAAAAAAAUUCCCUUUCCCUGCUUUUUUGUCACAGCAGCCUUUGUCACUUCAAACACCGCAAGUGUUCUUUAAAAAAAAUUAUAUCAACCUUUCAAUUAAAAUGCAACAUGUCUGAAACUUGGUAUCUGGAGAGGUGAGUUGGACAAAGGAGCCCUUGUUACUGCACGUUUUCAUUCUUCAAAUUUCACCUUGCACACAGUAACAGACAGUGCACAAAGCCACUUCCUUAUGGACGGAAAUUCUGAAAUCCUUUUAUGCCUGGCCUUUCCAUCCUUCAACUUCCCCUCUCCCACGCUGUGAAUGAUUGUAUUGGACAUUUUUGUUUUAAUGUCAGUGACAGGGGAACACAGGUAGCUCUAAUAUAGCUGUGACCCAGAUGCUUCUGUUUCUAGCAUGUAUUUAUUUUGCAGCAAACAUUUACAUCCAUGAUGUUUCACUGUCUUUUGAAAAUAAUUAGGCAAUAUCUCAUCUGAGGUAGGUUGUUUCUAGGGAUUGUGUUCUGAGGGAGGAAAACUAAUCUGUUCUCUUUCCACUGCAUUCUAGGAACAGUAAGAGGACCUUGUGCAUGAAUAAUUUGUUUCCACACUACAGACAGAAGAAUCCCAGACUUCUUAGAGAACCCAGUGACUUUUUGUACCUUAAAUCUGUGAAAUCCUCCUGUUUUCUUCUGCCGUAUCCAUAGUUCAAACAAAGAUGAGGCAAAGCUAGAUGCAUUCCUGAAGGAACCCAAGAAAUUCCUCUCUUUCUUUCUCUGGAAUGAAAUGAAUUCUCUAAACCACCAGUUCUAACCUUCAAAAACCAAACCUGUUUGUGAGAUCUCCUUCAAAUACUACUGUAGACCCCAGUUUUUAUUCAUUAAAUUUUUUAAAUAUUUGUUUUAUUUGGAA
This is a long non-coding RNA of Homo sapiens (human), 2735 nucleotides long. RefSeq lists it as uncharacterized. NCBI's taxonomy places the organism in Eukaryota, Metazoa, Chordata, Mammalia, Primates, Hominidae. The record is from RefSeq and is a predicted model, not a curated record. The transcript has 2 exons.